Molecule: RNA transcript, 1893 nt
Organism: Gossypium arboreum
Lineage: Eukaryota; Viridiplantae; Streptophyta; Magnoliopsida; Malvales; Malvaceae
Gene name: F-box/kelch-repeat protein At3g23880-like
Exons: 3
Source: RefSeq, a predicted model, not a curated record
CACCCUUAUCUUAUCUCAUAAAGUAAAGUGAAAGCUUUUAGAUUACAGAAGAAAAAUAAAAAAAAUUCUUAAAAUAUUAUGGUUGUCAUUGAUAAAGCAAUUAUUAGUCUCUUCUUCUUCUUCUUCUUCUUCUUCUUCUUCUUCCCCUUAUAUACAUUUCGAUUUCAUUUCUUCAAAAACUGAGCAAAAAAGAAAAAGAUGUCUGAUUAUUUGCCUGUAGAAGUGAUCCUUGAAAUCCUUAAAAGACUCCCAAUAGAGUCAUUGGUGAAAUGCAGGUCGGUUUGUAAGACCUGGAAUAGUCUCAUUUGCAACCCAUCUUUCAUUUCAACCCAUUUACAAGCUUCACUUUCAGAACCCAACAACACUCCUUUCAUCCUCCUUAGGUGCUUUAAAAAGGGCAAAGAAAACUACUUUUUACAUUAUGAUAAUGAUGACUUUGAUGAGUUCAAGCAGCUUCAAUUCCCUGUUUUUGGGUGUUUGUCUUAUUCUGCAGUGGUUGGUUCUUGCAAUGGGUUAGUUUGUCUUACUUUUCUACCACAAGAUGUUUUGAAUUUCAUUUUUUGGAACCCUUCCAUUCAAAAAUACAUGACAUUGCCUCAACCGAAUAUUUGCUGCUAUACUGAUGAUGUACGUUUAAAUUUUGGGUUUGGAUUUGAUUCGAGAACCAAUGAUUAUAAGCUACUUAUAGUUGGGGUUGAACAAAGUGAGACUUUGAUUGAACCUUAUUUGUUUUCACUUAAUGAAAAUUGUUGGAAAAGGGUUACUCCCACUUCACCUAAGUAUGCUGUUGAAGCAGGGAUUUCAUCCACUUUUGUUAACGGGGCACUCCAUUGGUUAGGGUAUCGGAGAGGGAAAAUUGGUGGAUUCAGUAAUGCAAUUUUGGGGUUUGAUUUAAGUCGUGAGGAGUUUUUUGAGAUAAGUUUGCCAGAAAGUUUAGUUUGGUUGUGUCCUAUGGAUUUAUCAACUAUGAGAUAUGGGGAAUCUUCCAUUGCAGUGCUUAAAAGAGAUUGGGAAGAUGGUGAGUUGCUUGAAUUGUGGGUCAUGAAGGAGUAUGGUGUGGUUGAGUCAUGGACUAAGGUGUUAGAAUUACAUUUGAUUGACCAAAGUGGAUGGUUCCCAAGGGUAUUGGGAUUUAGGAAGAAUGGGGAAGUCUUAUUGCAAGUGGAUGAUGGAGAGAUGGCUUCACGUGAUUUGAACUGCCAACAGAUGGAGCCUCAUCGAGUUGAGGUUGGGGCGGAAUUGUUAUACGUUGGUAGUUACGUGGAGAGCCUAGUGUUACUCGACAAAGCGGUUGAUGUCCGCAGUGUAAGUGAUGCAAACCAUGCUAUAGAUUCUAGUGAUUCUGAUGAUUCAAGUGAUUCUGAUGAAUCAAGUGAGGGAGAGUGCAAAAUCACAUAGGACUGGAAAUUGUAAGAGUCUGCUUUGGUAUACGUGUAAAACAUGAAACCCGCCCUUGUGAGGGGUAUAAGGAACCCAGCGGAUAUUCAAACCGUUGAAGCAUAAAUUUGCCUUUUCAUCAAGGAUCAGGCAUUCAAUAUGGUCUUUUAUUAUAUGUCUGCACUGCACUGCAUGUUUUGUUUUAGUAAGAAUAGACUCGUGGUUGUACUUAGUCAUCCUUAGGCAGUUUUUGUGACAUCCAUUUGAAAUGGCACAAAUGGUGUUGCUAAUCUUGAACAGCCUCUUUAAAUCAAUUUUAGCAUAUAAAUUAAAGAGGGAAUUCAGUAUUUGGUUGGUUUUCUUUUUUGGGUAAAAAAGAGACAGUAUUUUGGAGAGAUUAUAAAUGUUGAUACCUUUUAAAGGGAAACAUGUUGUAUCCAAAGAUAUUGCCUAAUAUAGCAAGCAGGGACCGAUAACUAGUCAUGAUGAAAGAUUACCAUGUUUAUGAUGUGUUAA